Ignavibacteria bacterium CG1_02_37_35 is the source of this 438-nucleotide non-coding RNA. Lineage: Bacteria; Pseudomonadati; Ignavibacteriota; Ignavibacteria. The record is from Rfam.
CGAUCAAGUUGGGCAAUUGCUCUCCCGCUUUAGCGGGAGGGAGGAAAGUCCGAACUCCACAGAGCAAAGUGCCGGAUAACGUCCGGGCAUUAAUUUAUUGAUGACGGAAAGUACCACAGAAAAUAUACCACUCCGAUGCAAAUCGGGGAAAGGGUGAAAUGGCAGGGUAAGAGCCUACCGCUCUAAAAGUAAUUUUAGAGGUUCCUAAAAAGGAAGUGGCGUUUCAGCGCCAUCAGGGCAAACCCCACUUGGAGAAAGGUCAAAUAGGAAAGUUCCCCGCCACGGCGGGGCAAAGCUGCUCGCUUUGAUUAGCUUUCGGGUAGACCGACAGAGGGUUGAAGUAAUUCAACUCCCAGACAAAUAAUUGCCGUUCUGACUUGCCUGCUGACGUCAGACAGGUCGGGAUUACAAAAUUCGGCUUAUAGACUUGAUCGUCUU